This 131-nucleotide transfer RNA is filed under the name Synechococcus sp. RS9916. Its description in RNAcentral is "tRNA-Gly". Lineage: Bacteria; Bacillati; Cyanobacteriota; Cyanophyceae; Synechococcales; Synechococcaceae. The record is from RNAcentral.
GGGGCAUUCGGUAAGCCUGGGACUGGUCUGCUGCCCGCAGGCAGCCUCAAUCCCCAGAAAGCCAGGGUGUUGUUGUUGUUGGCAUCAAUUGCAGGCUGGGAUGCUGUGGGGUUGGCAGCAUUGAUGUUUUA